Varroa destructor (honeybee mite) is the source of this 2294-nucleotide long non-coding RNA. The record is from RefSeq and is a predicted model, not a curated record. NCBI's taxonomy places the organism in Eukaryota, Metazoa, Arthropoda, Arachnida, Mesostigmata, Varroidae.
GUCAUUCUUUAUCCACCUAGGAAACGAAGUCGCUGCGGGCAGUUGUCUAUGCAAAAAACCGACAAUGCAUAAUCACUUAGCCCGCAUAGAAGGCUCUGAUAUAAGCAAGUAACAUUGUUCUGCUGUAGUGCUAGCAAAAAAGAGGCGAACACCAGUCAAGAACCGACUAGGAUAGCAGGAACUACACGGCCAAAGGUACAUUCGAUGGUCGGUUUGUGUCGACCGGCCAAAGACAUGGUCGCUUCAUGUGACAUUGAGGCUAAGUAGAGAAAAGCCGUUGCCCCAACAAAAGAGGCAAUUUCAGGGGGACAUCAGGACACAAAGGGCCUGCGUCUACUAAGGGGCAACAAAAUGAGCAGAGAUAAAGGCAGCAGCUGUUUGCUGCUGCUAGUGCAGCUUCACUGGCGGAGUUCAUCGACAACACGGCACGCCCUCUCUACAGCACGGUUAAGCUCUCGUCCUUGACUCUGUUCUGCUAUCAGGCAGGCGACUACAAGCGUUGUACCUUUCCCGCCCUGCCAGUGUUCAUUGAGCGACAGGCAACUGCGUAAAAGGGACAAGCCUAUCGAGCCCGCAGCGUUCGCUGGUUCAGCUUGGUUUUGCUUAGCCUUGUUCUAUCUGAUCCAGAGUGCUUCAGCCUGGCGCGCUGCUCGCUAUCGACACUGAUGACAGCGCUAACGCGGUAACAACUAUACGUCGGCUCUAUACGUGUAUAUAUACUAUACGACUACACGUGUUGCUCAAUGAAGGAUCUAUGGAAUCGCAAAACGUAGACGGAUGCCGACGGCCACGUAUAGAGAUCUAGGGUCACUCACUUCACACGCCCUGACGCUUGAAGGAAAACAAUCUUCGGAUUGAAGCUGUUCUUUCUACGCUGGUCCUUCUUUAGGGAACGUUAUCGUAUCUAGGAAGAGUCAUGUAAGGUUCAGGAAAAAGGAUCACUUGUCCUUGAUGGGCGAUUCACAGGCGGCCGAUGCUCCUAUAAGAAGGCUUAGAAUUCGCACGUGCUCAGGGUAAUUGUAUAGAUGGACGUCGAAUUGGAAACCUACUGAAGAUUAGGUUACUGUGGAGCAGGUGUUUCCGAGGGCUGAUAGAUUUCGUUCGCCUUAGUCGAUAUCAUAUCAUCGUGAAGGAGUCGAGAAGGAUAGCAUAUCAUCGUGAAGGAGUCGAGAAGGAUAGCAUAUCAUCGUGAUGUUACGAAUGCCAAUAUGACUGCACGAAAAAGGCUAUUGAGUAAUGACAUAUAUAUGAGCAUGGUACAAAUGCACGCUUCUAACAGGUCUCAGAACUGGGCUUAAGUUUAUCACUUGGAACGUGACUCGUCGAACUCGAGAAGGCGAAAGCAAAGUCCGGCGCCCAAAUUAGUAUACAUGAUCGUUUCCAGUUUAGCCGAGAUUUCCGUUAUUACUUUGCCGGUGACAGCUUUCAAGGGAAAAGGUUACCAACAGCUAGUGGUCCAAUUGAUUUUACGGGACAGAAGGAAGCGCCCUCGGUAUAUUACUCUAUGUAGACUAGUUUCAAGGCGUGGUGGACGUUGGUAAUGACAAAUGGCACUCACAUCGGGCCGUAUCAUUGGUGCCCAUUAGAUUGGUCGGAACAACGCAGGGAGAAAUACCGGAUGUCGUCGUAAAGCCGUCAAAAAUUAUCUGAUUUAUUGUGCCAUUCUGUGGUGGAUAAUAGUGCAUGGCUUGCUAUGCCAGUGAUAAUUAUACAAAUGUUCGCUAUGUAUAUAUUCGUACGUAUGUGUGGUUUUCCACCAAGCAGCAUAUGACAGCGCUUUUCUGGUGCUCGGCGUACUUGAGAGCAAGAUUGCCCAUGAGAGAUAGCAACUGCCAUGAUUGCUUAACUCCUCAUAGAAGUUAUCAGCCCCGCGUUGUAUGGCAAAGACAGCAAGUCUAGAGAACGAGAUACCCUGGGUUGUAACGGGCGUGCGUGCAUUCGUGAGGGACAUAACUUACUGCCACAGUUAGAAGCCAAUACCAUUCCGACGACCAAAUCUGUCCCUAUGACCAUGGCCACUGUGGCAGUCUUUCACUGGUGCUUUGCAGAUGCAAGUGGCAAUUCCAUGACAUGUCUGUCUGUUAGAGUGCGUGCCUGCGAGGAGACCAACGCGAGCAGUAAGUUGAAUCAAACAACCGAUUUUUGUGUGAGACCAUAAAUGGCAACAUAAAGACAAACUUCAAGAAAAAGUUGUAGCUUGGAAGUGUUUAUAUCGGAAACCCUUAAUAUACAAGGUGAAUAUAUGCACUUGUUAAACCAAUAAAUGCUGCAUUUGAUGUUUGUCGUACACGUAA